Molecule: ribosomal RNA, 405 nt
Filed under: Triticum aestivum (bread wheat)
Lineage: Eukaryota; Viridiplantae; Streptophyta; Magnoliopsida; Poales; Poaceae
Description: partial small subunit ribosomal RNA
Source: RNAcentral
AUGGUGAGCCGAAGUGGGAAGAUAAACAUCUGGUCAUGUUUGCGUGCUUUACAUCAACGAAUAAAAUUCCCGUGGUUGAUAGCCGGGGAUUUUACCGAGAUCUUAUACUCCCACGAGAAGGAGGGCGGUGCACCGAGGCCAAUGCACAUGAUGCAAAAUUUCAAAGAUGCCCUUGUUGAUUGCGAAUUGGAGGGCAUGGGUUCUAGUGGUGAUUUAUAUACUUGGAGGAGGAGGAGGCUUAGAGAACGCCUCGACAGAGCGGUAUGUAAUGGUCAGUUCCAUGGGCUUUUUCCUGAGGCAAAGAUUACUAAUGCCGCACACACCAAGUCUGAUCAUAGACCGAUAUUCAUUGACGGAGGGAGAUGUACAGGGGGACAAACAGCGAACCCAUCAGAGGUGUUUUGA